Molecule: ribosomal RNA, 458 nt
Filed under: uncultured bacterium
Lineage: Bacteria
Description: bacterial SSU rRNA
Rfam family: Bacterial small subunit ribosomal RNA
Source: RNAcentral
GUACGGGAGGCAGCAGUGAGGAAUCUUGCGCAAUGGCCGAAAGGCUGACGCAGCGACGCCGCGUGGAGGAUGACGCCCUUCGGGGUGUAAACUCCUGUUGCCCGGGACGAACGACCCUAUUCGUGGGGUGUGACGGUACCGGGUGAGGAAGCACCGGCUAACUCUGUGCCAGCAGCCGCGGUAAUACAGAGGGUGCGAGCGUUGUCCGGAAUCACUGGGCGUAAAGGGCGCGUAGGCGGCUCGGUAAGCGGGUGGUGAAAGCCCGGGGCUCAACCCCGGGUCGGCCAUGCGAACUGUCGAGCUGGAGCACGGUAGAGGCACAUGGAAUUCCGGGUGUAGCGGUGGAAUGCGUAGAGAUCCGGAAGAACACCGGUGGCGAAGGCGGUGUGCUGGGCCGUAGCUGACGCUGAGGCGCGACAGCGUGGGGAGCAAACAGGAUUAGAUACCCGUGUAGUCCC